Molecule: ribosomal RNA, 207 nt
Filed under: uncultured Pseudomonadota bacterium
Lineage: Bacteria; Pseudomonadati; Pseudomonadota
Description: uncultured proteobacterium partial 16S ribosomal RNA
Rfam family: Bacterial small subunit ribosomal RNA
Source: RNAcentral
CACGUAGGCGGUGAGUUUAGCCAGCUGUGAAAUCCCCGGGCUCAACCUGGGAAUUGCAGUUGGAACUGGCUCGCUAGAGUAUGGUAGAGGGGUGUGGAAUUUCAGGUGUAGCGGUGAAAUGCGUAGAUAUCUGAAGGAACAUCAGUGGCGAAGGCGACACCCUGGAUCAAUACUGACGCUGAGGUGCGAAAGCGUGGGGAGCAAACA